Molecule: long non-coding RNA, 734 nt
Organism: Amphibalanus amphitrite
Lineage: Eukaryota; Metazoa; Arthropoda; Thecostraca; Balanomorpha; Balanidae
Exons: 2
Source: RefSeq, a predicted model, not a curated record
GUCGUCAACAAUUCCUACAACCUUGUUAAAAACGCGCAUCACGUCAACGUGUGAAUGUUUAUAUUGGUUGUGGUGAAUGGUUGAGCAUUUUUCAUAUACGCUGUGUAUUUUUCCAUAUUCUGGAACGAGAUAGUGUGGAGACUGGAGCUUGCUCCUAAUGUUCCUUAUCUAUCCUCUGGACCUAUCUUUGUUGCGCCCACGUUGCGCCCACACCAUUGAGCAUCAGCAUUGAUUUUUUCUCAGUGGGCUCCGGAGUCUGACGUCCUAACUAGCUGCUCUUCGGCUUUAGCAGUCUUCCACACACUAUCUUGAUAUCUUCAGUGGGCUAGCCCGUGUUCUUGAGCCUCCAUUUGAAUUAUUGAUUGUGGAGCGUAGUUACACGUCUAGGAAAUGAGUGUAGUAGCUAUCCUGAAAAGUAAAGGAGAGGCAUAUGGAGAAACAAUUGAAUCAAGUGCUAUCGGAGACCAGCCAUUGUCAAGCAGACUCUCUGAGGUGCAGCACAAAAUAAAUGAAAAGCUGACAGCUUUAGUUCAAAAGAAACCAGGAACAAACGGGACGGACCAGGCCGGCGGUGAGGACCAGAAAGACGCCCCGGAGGAGGAUGACGAAGAUGACGAUAUUAUCGAUUCCGUACCUCCAAAGAGGAGAAAAACGUGACGUGGUGACAAUGCGAAGGCGACGGGGCUGGAUUGUUAUGCAUCAUUUUUGUGAAUAAAACGUGCUCGUGAUCAUGA